Molecule: ribosomal RNA, 312 nt
Filed under: uncultured fungus
Lineage: Eukaryota; Fungi
Description: SSU rRNA
Rfam family: Eukaryotic small subunit ribosomal RNA
Source: RNAcentral
UAACCUGCUAAAUAGUUACAUUCACUUUGGUGGAUGCUUAACUUCUUAGAGGGACUAUGGAUGUUUAAUCCAUGGAAGUUUGAGGCAAUAACAGGUCUGUGAUGCCCUUGAUGUUCUGGGCCGCACGCGCGCUACACUGAUGAAAUCAGCGAGUUAUUCACCUUGGCUGGAAAGCCUGGGUAAUCUUCUGAAACUUCAUCGUGCUGGGGAUAGUCACUUGUAAUUUUGACUUGAACGAGGAAUUCCUAGUAAGCGUGAGUCAUCAGCUCACGUUGAUUACGUCCCUGCCCUUUGUACACACCGCCCGUCGUU